GAUGAAGAACGUAGCGAAAUGCGAUAAGUAAUGUGAAUUGCAGAAUUCAGUGAAUCAUCGAGUCUUUGAACGCACAUUGCGCCCCCUGGUAUUCCGGGGGGCAUGCCUGUCCGAGCGUCAUUGCUGCCCUCAAGCACGGCUUGCGUGUUGGGCCUCCGUCCUCCUCCCGGGGGACGGGCCCGAAAGGCAGCGGCGGCACCGCGUCCGGUCCUCGAGCGUAUGGGGCUUCGUCACCCGCUCUUGUAGGCCCGGCCGGCGCUUGCCGACACAUCAAUCUUUUUUCCAGGUUGACCUCGGAUCAGGUAGGGAUACCCGCUGAACUUAAGCAUAUCAAUAAGCGGAGGA
This 345-nucleotide unclassified non-coding RNA is filed under the name soil metagenome. Its description in RNAcentral is "partial contains 5.8S ribosomal RNA, internal transcribed spacer 2, and large subunit ribosomal RNA". The stretch from base 1 to 120 matches the Rfam family "5.8S ribosomal RNA", at positions 35 to 154 of the family's 154-position model. The record is from RNAcentral.